Molecule: transfer RNA, 74 nt
Filed under: Gossypium barbadense (sea-island cotton)
Lineage: Eukaryota; Viridiplantae; Streptophyta; Magnoliopsida; Malvales; Malvaceae
Also listed under: 3 other names
Rfam family: tRNA
About the family: Transfer RNA (tRNA) molecules are approximately 80 nucleotides in length. Their secondary structure includes four short double-helical elements and three loops (D, anti-codon, and T loops).
Source: Rfam by way of RNAcentral
GUUAUUUUAGUUUUAAGUAGUAAAAUGUGUGAUUUUAAAUUAGGUUGUUGUGGGUUCAAUUUUCACAUAUAACA